CCUACGGGUGGCAGCAGUGGGGAAUAUUGCACAAUGGGGGAAACCCUGAUGCAGCGACGCCGCGUGAGUGAAGAAGUAUCUCGGUACGUAAAGCUCUAUCAGCAGGGAAGAAAAUGACGGUACCUGACUAAGAAGCACCGGCUAACUACGUGCCAGCAGCCGCGGUAAUACGUAGGGGGCAAGCGUUAUUCGGAUUUACUGGGUGGAAAGGGAGCGUAGACGGGAGAACAAGUCUGGAGUGAAAUCCCAGGGCUUAACCCCGGAACUGCUUUGGAAACUGUGCGGCUGGAGUGCAGGAGGGGUAAGCGGAAUUCCUAGUGUAGCGGUGAAAUGCGUAGAUAUUAGGAGGAACACCGGUGGCGAAGGCGGCUUACUGGACUGUAACUGACGUUGAGGCUCGAAAGCGUGGGGAGCAAACAGGAUUAGAUACCCGUGUAGUC
RNAcentral lists this ribosomal RNA (440 nucleotides) under uncultured bacterium. Its description in RNAcentral is "partial 16S ribosomal RNA". It matches the Rfam family "Bacterial small subunit ribosomal RNA", at positions 338 to 795 of the family's 1533-position model. The record is from RNAcentral.